CAUUUCCCACUUUUUUCCCCUUUUUUUUUUCUUCUUUUGUUGAUUCAGCGUGUUUCUCUUCCUUCUUUCUUUUCAUUUCCCACUUCUCUCUCCCCUCACGCCGCCACCCCUCGCCAUUGAUCUGCUCUGUCUUCCAUCACGCCGAAGUCACAAUCCCCAGCCACCACCGACUUGUAAAGCCCCUCACAGCCCAAUCGAUUUCAGGUUGUUCAGGGGGAAUAUUAUUGAAGUCCAGUUAGCUUGAAGAGCAUAGCUCAAAUCAAUACUCCCGAUGCAAAUUCUCUCUUGGUUCAGCCGUACGACAAAUCCAGCUUAAAGGCUAUAGAAAAGGCCAUAGUGGGCUCUGAUCUUGGUAUGACUCCAAACAACGAUGGAGAAGUGAUAAGAUUGACUCUCCCUCAACUUACAUCAUAAAGGAGGAAGGAAUUCUUAAAAAUAGUAGCUAAACUGGCUGAAGAAGGGAAGGUGGCAUUGAGGAACAUAAGAAGAGAUGCUUUCAAAGCCUGCAAAAAACUUGAGAAGGAGAAAAAGCUCUCUGAAGACAUUGCGAAGGACUUGUCAAGUGAUUUGUAGGUAACUUGAUGCUUUUGAAACUUCACAAACAUGGGAUCAACUGUAUGGAGCUUCCCCUCAUUUAGCAUACAUAGGGACCUGAUCUAGAUAGGCUUUCUUUUGUAUUAAAUAGUAAGAUCACAUGCUUUUUGUAUGGAGCUUCCCCUCAUUUGUAGGAAGACUAGUAUAGAUCUUGUCAUAAUUCUAGUUGUUUAAGUUUAAAACAAGGUUUAAUUUCAGGAUUUCUUUGUAUAUUCUAUAUUUUAAAGUUUGAACUUAUAUGAAUUUUUAUCUUUCAAUUGAUCAA
Molecule: long non-coding RNA, 859 nt
Organism: Quercus robur (English oak)
Lineage: Eukaryota; Viridiplantae; Streptophyta; Magnoliopsida; Fagales; Fagaceae
Exons: 6
Source: RefSeq, a predicted model, not a curated record